This 73-nucleotide ribosomal RNA is filed under the name Brugia malayi. Its description in RNAcentral is "partial 5.8S ribosomal RNA". Lineage: Eukaryota; Metazoa; Nematoda; Chromadorea; Rhabditida; Onchocercidae. The record is from RNAcentral.
AGCUGCGAUAAAUAGUGCGAAUUGCAGACGCAUUGAGCACAAAGGUUUCGAAUGCACAUUGCACCAUUGGGUU